UCCAGACUCCUACGGGAGGCAGCAGUGAGGAAUAUUGGUCAAUGGCCGAGAGGCUGAACCAGCCAAGUCGCGUGAGGGAAGACGGCCCUACGGGUUGUAAACCUCUUUUGUCGGGGAGCAAAGCGAACCACGUGUGGUUCAUUGAGAGUACCCGAAGAAAAAGCAUCGGCUAACUCCGUGCCAGCAGCCGCGGUAAUACGGAGGAUGCGAGCGUUAUCCGGAUUUAUUGGGUUUAAAGGGUGCGUAGGCGGGCAUUUAAGCCGGCGGUCAAAUGUCGGGGCUCAACCCCGUACUGCCGUUGAAACUGCAUCCCUUGAGUGCGCGAGAAGUAUGCGGAAUGCGUGGUGUAGCGGUGAAAUGCAUAGAUAUCACGCAGAACUCCGAUUGCGAAGGCAGCAUACCGGCGCGCAACUGACGCUCAUGCACGAAAGCGUGGGUAUCGAACAGGAUUAGAUACUCUUGUA
This 464-nucleotide ribosomal RNA is filed under the name uncultured bacterium. RNAcentral describes it as "bacterial SSU rRNA". It matches the Rfam family "Bacterial small subunit ribosomal RNA", at positions 330 to 792 of the family's 1533-position model. The record is from RNAcentral.